CAGGCCUAACACAUGCAAGUCGAGCGGACUUAUCCUUCGGGAUAGGUUAGCGGCGGACGGGUGAGUAACACGUAGGCAACCUGCCUGUAAGAUCGGGGUAACUACCGGAAACGGUAGCUAAGACCGGAUAGCUGGUUUCUCCGCAUGGGGGAAUCAUGAAACACGGGGCAACCUGUGGCUUACGGAUGGGCCUGCGGCGCAUUAGCUAGUUGGUGGGGUAACGGCCCACCAAGGCGACGAUGCGUAGCCGACCUGAGAGGGUGAUCGGCCACACUGGGACUGAGACACGGCCCAGACUCCUACGUGAGGCAGCAGUAGGGAAUCUUCCGCAAUGGGCGCAAGCCUGACGGAGCAACGCCGCGUGAGUGAUGAAGGUUUUCGGAUCGUAAAGCUCUGUUGCCAAGGAAGAACGCCUCGGAGAGUAACUGCUCUGAGGGUGACGGUACUUGAGAAGAAAGCCCCGGCUAACUACGUGCCAGCAGCCGCGGUAAUACGUAGGGGGCAAGCGUUGUCCGGAAUUAUUGGGCGUAAAGCGCGCGCAGGCGGUCUUUUAAGUUUGGUGUUUAAGCCCGGGGCUCAACCCCGGUUCGCACUGAAAACUGGGAGACUUGAGUGCAGGAGAGGAAAGCGGAAUUCCACGUGUAGCGGUGAAAUGCGUAGAGAUGUGGAGGAACACCAGUGGCGAAGGCGGCUUUCUGGACUGUAACUGACGCUGAGGCGCGAAAGCGUGGGGAGCAAACAGGAUUAGAU
This 750-nucleotide ribosomal RNA is filed under the name uncultured bacterium. Its description in RNAcentral is "bacterial SSU rRNA". It matches the Rfam family "Bacterial small subunit ribosomal RNA", at positions 43 to 783 of the family's 1533-position model. The record is from RNAcentral.